This 253-nucleotide ribosomal RNA is filed under the name uncultured bacterium. Its description in RNAcentral is "partial 16S ribosomal RNA". It matches the Rfam family "Bacterial small subunit ribosomal RNA", at positions 524 to 776 of the family's 1533-position model. The record is from RNAcentral.
UACAGAGGUCCCAAGCGUUGUUCGGAUUUAUUGGGCGUAAAGGGUGCGUAGGCGGUUCGUUCAGUCAGACGUGAAAUUCCUGGGCUCAACCUGGGGGCUGCGUUUGAUACGUGCGGACUUGAGUGCGGAAGAGGGUCGUGGAAUUCCCAGUGUAGAGGUGAAAUUCGUAGAUAUUGGGAAGAACACCGGUGGCGAAGGCGGCGACCUGGUCCGAUACUGACGCUGAGGCGCGAAAGCGUGGGGAGCAAACAGG